GUCUACGGCCAUGCUACCCUGAACAAGCCCGAUCCUGUCUGAUCUUGGAAGCUAAGCAGGGUCGGGCCUGGUUAGUACUUGGAUGGGAGAUCACCUAGAAAGACCAGGUGCUGUAGGAG
This 119-nucleotide ribosomal RNA is filed under the name Pteropus alecto (black flying fox). The record is from RNAcentral. Lineage: Eukaryota; Metazoa; Chordata; Mammalia; Chiroptera; Pteropodidae.